AUGUGGGUCCCCAUGGACUGUCGGUCCACGCACUGUGCGUGGACUGCAUGAGAGAACCACACAGGCCGCGCCUACGUGCACCCACCUAGGUCCAGGCCAUACCCACGUUCGUGCCCACCUGGGCCUGGGUAGCACACCGCACGUGCCUGCACAUCUGCACCCUGGGUCGUGCACUCAUAGUUGGCCCUCGCACCGUCAUGCAUGCCCGCUCUACCGCAGUCUCCACUGGCCCGCCGCUAGCCUCCGCCACUUUGAUCUCUGUG
This 263-nucleotide long non-coding RNA is filed under the name Elaeis guineensis (African oil palm). Its description in RNAcentral is "long non-coding RNA (EGUI_LNC037759)". Lineage: Eukaryota; Viridiplantae; Streptophyta; Magnoliopsida; Arecales; Arecaceae. The record is from RNAcentral.